CCAAAAAAAAAAUAUCAACAAUUUAUUAAUUAAUUUAAUUUAUCUUUUUAUGUCAUUUGAUUUCUAGUUUCAACUAUUCAAUUCAACUUUCAUCUAGACAAGUUUCUCUUAUUGGUCUUUGAAUGGCCAAUUUACUGUCUCCAGUGUACACAGAACCUCUCAAACUGCAUAACCCAUCACAGAAAUUUUGUUCCAGAAGCUCAUGGGGGAUGCUUCCAAAAACUGCAACCCACAUGAACUCUGUGACACACAAUGGCAAACGAAGAGGGUGUGGCAGGGUAAGAGUUGCUGCUGAGGAAAAAUCGUUUUCAACCAGUGACACUGUUGCAGAUGACUACUAUGCAGUUCUGGGUCUGCUUCCAGAUGCCACUCCUGCUCAGAUCAAGAAGGCCUACUACAAUUGCAUGAAAGCUUGCCAUCCAGAUUUGAGUGGCAAUGAUCCUGAGACAACUAACUUCUGCACGUUCAUCAAUGAAGUGUAUGGGGUGCUCAGUGAUCCCAUUCAGCGCAUGAUUUAUGAUGAAAUUCAUGGGUAUUCUUUGACUUCCAUUAACCCUUUUCUGGAUGAGUCUAGUCCAAAGGAUCAUGUUUUUGUUGAUGAAUUCAGCUGCAUAGGCUGCAAAAAUUGUGCCAAUGUGGCCUGUGAUGUGUUUGGAAUAGAGGAAGAAUUUGGGAGAGCCAGAGUGUACAGCCAAAGCGGGAAACCUGACAUAGUUCAACAGGCUAUUGAUAGUUGCCCUGUUGACUGCAUUCAUUGGACAUCAGCUGCACAACUAUCAUUGCUUGAAGACGAAAUGCGCCGUGUAGAAAGAGUCAAUGAAUGGGAUCAGCAUCAACUGAUGUUUUCAGAAUGGCAAGUUCGCGAUGGGAAAAGAGGCAGGCAAAAGUCCUGGAACAAGCAAAAUUGAGAAUGAUGAAGGAGAAAGGUUCUGAUAAAGCAGAUAUGUUCUGGAACAAUGUUUGGGGAAAAGAAAAAGACUUGAGUUCAGAGGAGGAAAUCAAAGAAAGAGCAAAGAGGGCUGCUGCUGCUGCUAGAAGAUGGAGAGAAUACUCAAGAAGGGGUGUUGAUAAGCCUCCCACAUUCAAACUUCCAGAGGCAGCUUCCACCAAGGACUAGUGACCAUUAUUUUCCUUAUACCAUCCAUUCCCAUGUAAUUAAUUCAUCCAUAGCAUCUCAAUGAAUCUAAUGAGUUUAAUUCCCAUUUAACAAUCCCUCAUUGUAUAUGCUGCAACACUAAUUAAAGUAAAAUUAAUACUA
Molecule: RNA transcript, 1258 nt
Organism: Vigna radiata var. radiata (mung bean)
Lineage: Eukaryota; Viridiplantae; Streptophyta; Magnoliopsida; Fabales; Fabaceae
Gene name: chaperone protein dnaJ C76, chloroplastic
Exons: 9
Source: RefSeq, a predicted model, not a curated record